This 520-nucleotide long non-coding RNA is filed under the name Mus spicilegus (steppe mouse). RNAcentral's name for it is "lncRNA (ENSMSIG00000005045.1)". The record is from RNAcentral. Lineage: Eukaryota; Metazoa; Chordata; Mammalia; Rodentia; Muridae.
CACUGAUGCCUUUGGAGAGCUCCCUGAUGUGUUUUGAGCUUGUAACUACUAUUGGUUCUGCCCCUUUGAAUGAAGAAGAACCACAUGAGAUGAGAGAACCAUUACUGACCGAAUCCUUGCUACAGUGGGCGCCUAAGAGCACUGCUUGAUUUCUUGCUCUGGUUUUUACUGUUUGACUAGAAGUGGAGUCAGUUGAGAUCUUGAGUCUACUAGGAGCACCUUCUCCCCCACCCCCACCCACCAAGCAGAGAGCGCACGACAGGCUUUUCAGAUGUCACCAAGUUAAGCAAUUUAAACUUCUGGGUUUCUAAAGCCUGUAUUAAUUGGUUAGAGUUUGAGUCAAAUCAGCAUUAGUUGAAAUGGUUUCAAAAUGCUGGAAUUUAGGACAAGAGACAUUGUACUUUUGCAUGCCCUUCCCACUCCCAUGCAGAGUUUUCUGAAACACCCUGAUGUCAUGUCAUCUACUUACUAGUUUGCUUAUAAAAAUAAAUAAAGCAAACCCUAGCUACUUAGGAGAAAC